RNAcentral lists this ribosomal RNA (495 nucleotides) under uncultured bacterium. Its description in RNAcentral is "partial 16S ribosomal RNA". It matches the Rfam family "Bacterial small subunit ribosomal RNA", at positions 28 to 505 of the family's 1533-position model. The record is from RNAcentral.
GACGAACGCUGGCGGCGUGCCUAAUACAUGCAAGUUGAGCGAUGACGCUUGGUGCUUGCUCCAAUUUGAAGAGCAGCGAACGGGUGAGUAACGCGUGGGGAAUCUGCCUUUGAGCGGGGGACAACAUUUGGAAACGAAUGCUAAUACCGCAUAACAACUUUAAACAUAAGUUUUAAGUUUGAAAGAUGCCAUUGCAUCACUCAAAGAUGAUCCCGCGUUGUAUUAGCUAGUUGGUGAGGUAAAGGCUCACCAAGGGGAUGAUACAUAGCCGACCUGAGAGGGGAAUAGGCCACAUUGAGACUGAGACACGGCCAAAACUCCUAGGGAGGGCGGCAGUGGGGAAUUUUGGGAAAUGGAGGAAAGUCUGACCGAGCAACGCCGCGUGGGUGAAGAGGGUUUUGGGAUCGUAAAACUCUGUUGGUAGAGAAGAACGUUGGUGGGAGUGAAAAGCUCAUCAAGUGACGGUAACUACACAGAAAGGGACGGCGAACUACG